UACGAAGGGUGCAAGCGUUACUCGGAAUUACUGGGCGUAAAGCGUGCGUAGGUGGUUUGUUAAGUCUGAUGUGAAAGCCCUGGGCUCAACCUGGGAAUUGCAUUGGAUACUGGCAGGCUAGAGUGCGGUAGAGGGUAGUGGAAUUCCCGGUGUAGCAGUAGAAAUCGCGUAGAGAGUCGGAAAGAACACCAACGGCGAAAGCAACUCUGCUGGGCCGACACUGACACUGAGAGACGAAAGCUAGGGGAGCGAAUGGG
RNAcentral lists this ribosomal RNA (257 nucleotides) under uncultured bacterium. RNAcentral describes it as "partial 16S ribosomal RNA". It matches the Rfam family "Bacterial small subunit ribosomal RNA", at positions 524 to 776 of the family's 1533-position model. The record is from RNAcentral.